CUGACGCAGCAACGCCGCGUGGAUGAUGAAGUUCUUCGGAAUGUAAAAUCCUUUUGCAGAGGAAGAAUAUCCCGAUUUAUCGGGACUGACGGUACUCUGCGAAUAAGCCACGGCUAACUCUGUGACAGCAGCCGCGGU
RNAcentral lists this ribosomal RNA (138 nucleotides) under uncultured bacterium. Its description in RNAcentral is "partial 16S ribosomal RNA". It matches the Rfam family "Bacterial small subunit ribosomal RNA", at positions 383 to 521 of the family's 1533-position model. The record is from RNAcentral.